Molecule: long non-coding RNA, 215 nt
Filed under: Nicotiana benthamiana
Lineage: Eukaryota; Viridiplantae; Streptophyta; Magnoliopsida; Solanales; Solanaceae
Description: long non-coding RNA (NBEN_LNC000476)
Source: RNAcentral
AAUAGUGAGGCUGUCCAGUUGUUGUUGUUUAACAUACACACUGUGAAUCCAUUUGACCCAUAACAGGUCUUUCUUGUGAGCUAAAUCUCAUCCUAGCUUAACUAUUGCAGCUUUGUUCCACAAUGAGAUGUUAGUUAAGUUAAGUCCCCCAGCAGAUUUAGGCAUACACAUUUUCUCCCAGGCUACAUAUGCUUUCUUGUUGAUGGUCACAGACC